Molecule: ribosomal RNA, 468 nt
Filed under: uncultured bacterium
Lineage: Bacteria
Description: partial 16S ribosomal RNA
Rfam family: Bacterial small subunit ribosomal RNA
Source: RNAcentral
GACGAACGCUGGCGGCGUGCUUAACACAUGCAAGUCGAACGGAAAGGCCCUGCUUUUGUGGGGUGCUCGAGUGGCGAACGGGUGAGUAACACGUGAGUAACCUGCCCUUGACUUUGGGAUAACUUCAGGAAACUGGGGCUAAUACCGGAUAGGAGCUCCUGCUGCAUGGUGGGGGUUGGAAAGUUUCGGCGGUUGGGGAUAGACUCGCGGCUUAUCAGCUUGUUGGUGGGGUAGUGGCUUACCAAGGCUUUGACGGGUAGCCGGCCUGAGAGGGUGACCGGCCACAUUGGGACUGAGAUGCGGCCCAGACUCCUACGGGAGGCAGCAGUGGGGAAUAUUGCACAAUGGGCGGAAGCCUGAUGCAGCAACGCCGCGUGCGGGAUGGCGGCCUUCGGGUUGUAAACCGCUUUCGCCUGUGACGAAGCGUGAGUGACGGUAAUGGGUAAAGAAGCACCGGCUAACUACGUG